GAUGCAGCAAUUCAAGUGGAGUCUAUGGAAGAAGUUUCACUAUUGGAUAAAAGAUCUCCCAACCUUCCUAGAGAUGCACCUGAUUCUACAAGCUAUGCACGAUCAAAUGUGGAUACUGAUGUUAUAAUGCUGGCUUCUGCAAAUCAUGUUACUACUAAUGCAAAGGAUGGGCAUGUGGCUGAUCUUGAUGGGCAGCAUCACAAGUGCAAUGGGCAUGCCUCUGCUACAA
This 229-nucleotide long non-coding RNA is filed under the name Nicotiana benthamiana. RNAcentral's name for it is "long non-coding RNA (NBEN_LNC017511)". Lineage: Eukaryota; Viridiplantae; Streptophyta; Magnoliopsida; Solanales; Solanaceae. The record is from RNAcentral.